GAUGAACGCUGGCGGCGUGCCUAACACAUGCAAGUCGAGCGAUUCUCUUCGGAGAAGAGCGGCGGACGGGUGAGUAACGCGUGGGUAACCUGCCCUGUACACACGGAUAACAUACCGAAAGGUAUGCUAAUACGAGAUAAUAUGCUUUUAUCGCAUGGUAGAAGUAUCAAAGCUUUUGCGGUACAGGAUGGACCCGCGUCUGAUUGGCUAGUUGGUAAGGUAACGGGUUACAAAGGCGACGAUCAGUAGCCGACCUGAGAGGGUGAUCGGCCACAUUGGAACUGAGACACGGUCCAAACUCCUACGGGAGGCAGCAGUGGGGAAUAUUGCACAAUGGGCGAAAGCCUGAUGCAGCAACGCCGCGUGAGCGAUGAAGGCCUUCGGGUCGUAAAGCUCUGUCCUCAAGGAAGAUAAUGACGGUACUUGAGGAGGAAGCCCCGGCUAACUACGUGCCAGCCGCCGCCGUAA
RNAcentral lists this ribosomal RNA (468 nucleotides) under uncultured bacterium. Its description in RNAcentral is "partial 16S ribosomal RNA". It matches the Rfam family "Bacterial small subunit ribosomal RNA", at positions 28 to 523 of the family's 1533-position model. The record is from RNAcentral.